UGGGGAAUCUUCCACAAUGGGCGCAAGCCUGAUGGAGCAACACCGCGUGAGUGAAGAAGGGUUUCGGCUCGUAAAGCUCUGUUGUUAAAGAAGAACACGUAUGAGAGUAACUGUUCAUACGUUGACGGUAUUUAACCAGAAAGUCACGGCUAACUACGUGCCAG
RNAcentral lists this ribosomal RNA (164 nucleotides) under uncultured bacterium. RNAcentral describes it as "partial 16S rRNA". It matches the Rfam family "Bacterial small subunit ribosomal RNA", at positions 355 to 511 of the family's 1533-position model. The record is from RNAcentral.